Molecule: long non-coding RNA, 1563 nt
Organism: Coregonus clupeaformis (lake whitefish)
Lineage: Eukaryota; Metazoa; Chordata; Actinopteri; Salmoniformes; Salmonidae
Exons: 5
Source: RefSeq, a predicted model, not a curated record
UUUUUGUUCAGUAUAACUAGCUAGCUAGCUGGCUAACAUUAGCCUACCUUAAUACAACUCUGAUUUGUCUUGGAAACACGAGAACAUUUCAAAACAUUUGUAGGAAAACCUUUUGUCAUGAUUGUGAGGUUGCCAGAUUGACUUUAGAUGCAGUAUAACUUUAGCCAGCAAACUAAGAUUGAGAGGACCACCGUAUUUUAGCUAGCUAACAUUAGCAUUGCUAGAUAUUUUUGACGAACUUUGCUAGCUAACAUUGCCAUCGCUCUAAAGUAAAUAUGACGGCAUCAUAAUAUGGCAAAGUUGUUUCCUGCUAAUUAUUUGCCUACUUUAGCAAUGUCAUCGUAUUUCCAUGCCACUGUAAAUUAGUGUAAUUUAGGCAAAACAGUCACAUUAGCCUCCAAGGUGCAACCCAUGUCUAGGGCACAAAUCAAUAUUGGAUGCAGCUAUGUUGGUACUAGCUAAGUCAUGUCUGACUACAACAGUGUACUAAAUAGCAGCAACAAACUCAAUCCAACCCAGGGCCAUAGCAAAACAUGUCACAGUUGGUUGCAUAGUGUAACGGCGUCACCGGCCUGAAUCUAAUCCAAUCUGGAGCCAGUUAGUCAACUGUAAAGCAUCGAAUUAGCUUCCAAACGAGAUUACGUUAUUUCUCAAGCUAUGUUUAUAACUGAGGGACGAUGACAAUCGUUGACCCUGUUUUUCUGUUAGACCAAGUGCACAGUUGAGUGCCAAACGGAUCCCCUGGUCAUGAACGGAUGCCCGGACCUACCAGAAGGAGCAAAGCUUGUCAAGCAAUUCCUCAGAAAAAAAGUGUGUCAUGUGACACAAGAACCCCUUGUGACACCUCCUCCGUUGUUGCCAGUCUCCCUUGACUCCUAUGAAAAGGAUAGUGACCCGAGUUACUGCCCUGAUGACACAGAUGGCUUCAUAAACAACGACAGGCCCUCCCAGUCAACACCACCUCAUAAGAUUGCCUGCUGCAGUUGUUCGAGAGAUGUCCAGUUUGCAGCUGAACAUGCAGCAUAGAGAAGACCAGCAAGGAGGCCCUCAUCAGCAUCAUGUUGACAUGCCCUCGCUGUGAGCAUUCUUAUGAAUGGAACAGUCAGCCACAUAUUGGCAAGUAUCCAGCCAGCAACCUUCACCUGUCAGCGGCAACAGCUUUCACAGGCUCAUCAUUUGUACAAAUACAGAAGUAUCUUUGAUGAGGGUCCAGGAGCUGAUCUACGCUGCUAUGCCCAUAGACCUCGCCUCCAGCCUCACCUCAAUGGGGAGAACAGAAUUAGAUACCUGUAUAGUGCCAGUAUGGAGUCAGCACAUGGAGACUUGUAAGAUGAUGUGAUGAAGUCCAGACUGACAGACAGGCUUGAUCCUGAUGUCUCUGAAUGGAUAGAGACCUGGCACUCAACAUAAACAUUUUACUAGACACAACUUUUACUUGCAAUGUCUUUUUUUCUUAUUAAAUUGAUUGAUAUCAGUCAAUAUGAGGAAGGAGAAACCUUGUGUAUUCUGCCCCAGCAUCAGGGAACUCCUUUUGUAUACGGGACACCACACAGGAAGGUAUGA